AGGAGGAGGACAACAGGUUGGAACGACUGCUAAUACCCCGUAUGUCUACGGAUGAAAGGAGAAAUCCGCCUGAGGAGGAGCUCGCGACUGAUUAGCUAGUUGGUAGUGUAAUGGACUACCAAGGCGACGAUCAGUAGCUGGUCUGAGAGGAUGAUCAGCCACACUGGGACUGAGACACGGCCCAGACUCCUACGGGAGGCAGCAGUGGGGAAUUUUCCGCAAUGGGCGAAAGCCUGACGGAGCAAUACCGCGUGUGGGAGGACGGCCUACUGGUUGUAAACCACUUUUCUCAGGGAAGAAGAACUGACGGUACCUGAGGAAUCAGCAUCGGCUAACUCCGUGCCAGCAGCCGCGGUAAUACGGAGGAUGCAAGCGUUAUCCGGAAUUAUUGGGCGUAAAGCGUCCGUAGGUGGUUAUGCAAGUCUGCUGUUAAAGAGUGGAGCUUAACUCCAUAGAGGCGGUGGAAACUGCAUAGCUAGAGAGUGGUAGGGGUAGAGGGAAUUCCCAGUGUAGCGGUGAAAUGCGUAGAUAUUGGGAAGAACACCGGUGGCGAAAGCGCUCUACUGGGCCACAUCUGACACUGAUGGACGAAAGCUAGGGGAGCGAAUGGGAUUARAUACC
This 621-nucleotide ribosomal RNA is filed under the name Pseudanabaena sp. LW-1. RNAcentral's name for it is "bacterial SSU rRNA". The record is from RNAcentral. Lineage: Bacteria; Bacillati; Cyanobacteriota; Cyanophyceae; Pseudanabaenales; Pseudanabaenaceae.